Molecule: ribosomal RNA, 164 nt
Filed under: Lathyrus multijugus
Lineage: Eukaryota; Viridiplantae; Streptophyta; Magnoliopsida; Fabales; Fabaceae
Description: Lathyrus pannonicus subsp. multijugus 5.8S ribosomal RNA
Rfam family: 5.8S ribosomal RNA
About the family: 5.8S ribosomal RNA (5.8S rRNA) is a component of the large subunit of the eukaryotic ribosome. It is transcribed by RNA polymerase I as part of the 45S precursor that also contains 18S and 28S rRNA.
Source: RNAcentral
AGAAUGACUCUCGGCAACGGAUAUCUAGGCUCUUGCAUCGAUGAAGAACGUAGCGAAAUGCGAUACUUGGUGUGAAUUGCAGAAUCCCGUGAACCAUCGAGUCUUUGGACGCAAGUUGCGCCCGAUGCCAUUAGGUUGAGGGCACGUCUGCCUGGGUGUCACAU